ACAGCAGCAGCCGCGGUAAUACGUAGGGUGCGAGCGUUAAUCGGAAUUACUGGGCGUAAAGCGUGCGCAGGCGGUUUUGUAAGACAGGCGUGAAAUCCCCGGGCUCAACCUGGGAAUGGCGCUUGUGACUGCAAAGCUAGAGUGCGGCAGAGGGGGAUGGAAUUCCGCGUGUAGCAGUGAAGUGCGUAGAUAUGCGGAGGAACACCGAUGGCGAAGGCAAUCCCCUGGGCCUGCACUGACGCUCAUGCACGAAAGCGUGGGGAGCAAACAGGAUUAGAUACCCCCGUAGUCCCUGUCUCUUAUAC
Molecule: ribosomal RNA, 305 nt
Filed under: uncultured bacterium
Lineage: Bacteria
Description: partial 16S ribosomal RNA
Rfam family: Bacterial small subunit ribosomal RNA
Source: RNAcentral